This 254-nucleotide ribosomal RNA is filed under the name uncultured bacterium. RNAcentral describes it as "partial 16S ribosomal RNA". It matches the Rfam family "Bacterial small subunit ribosomal RNA", at positions 524 to 776 of the family's 1533-position model. The record is from RNAcentral.
UACGUAGGGGGCGAGCGUUGUCCGAAGUUACUGGGCGUAAAGCGCGCGUAGGCGGGGGAUUAAGUGAGAGGUGAAAGGCUGGGGCUCAACCCCAUGCAGUGCCUCUCAUACUGGUCUUCUUGAGGGCGGUAGGGAGAAGUGGAAUGGCUGGUGUAGCGGUGAAAUGCGUAGAUAUCAGUCGGAACACCGGUGGCGAAGGCGGCUUCUUGGGCCGGCAUUGACGCUGAGGCGCGAAAGCCAGGGGAGCAAACGGG